GUGACGUAACAAAAUGUCACCCGUUCAUAGGGUAUAACAAUAGUCUGUUUAUUGUUUUUAAGACUAUGUUUCAUAUACGUAGGAAAAAAAGGGAUCAUCCAUUUGAUUACUCCGAAUACUGCAAACGAAGGCCAAAACGUUAAGUAGUGAUGUUCAGGGUCCAUUGAUGUCUGGAAAUGGAUGCCUACCAGUGAGGCAGCAUCACAAAUGUGACCAAAGAUUUUGUCCAACAAGCGUCUGGGAGUAGAGCUUGAAUAAACACAUAUUCUUAUACGCAUUGACAGCUUUAUGA
Long non-coding RNA from Gigantopelta aegis, 292 nucleotides. RefSeq lists it as uncharacterized. Lineage: Eukaryota; Metazoa; Mollusca; Gastropoda; Neomphalida; Peltospiridae. The record is from RefSeq and is a predicted model, not a curated record. The transcript is spliced from 2 exons.